GACGAACGCUGGCGGCGUGCCUAAUACAUGCAAGUAGAACGCUGAAGAGAGGAGCUUGCUCUUCUUGGAUGAGUUGCGAACGGGUGAGUAACGCGUAGGUAACCUGCCUUGUAGCGGGGGAUAACUAUUGGAAACGAUAGCUAAUACCGCAUAACAAUGGAUGACACAUGUCAUUUAUUUGAAAGGGGCAAUUGCUCCACUACAAGAUGGACCUGCGUUGUAUUAGCUAGUAGGUGAGGUAACGGCUCACCUAGGCGACGAUACAUAGCCGACCUGAGAGGGUGAUCGGCCACACUGGGACUGAGACACGGCCCAGACUCCUACGGGAGGCAGCAGUAGGGAAUCUUCGGCAAUGGGGGCAACCCUGACCGAGCAACGCCGCGUGAGUGAAGAAGGUUUUCGGAUCGUAAAGCUCUGUUGUAAGUCAAGAACGAGUGUGAGAGUGGAAAGUUCACACUGUGACGGUAGCUUACCAGAAAGGGACGGCUAACUACGUGCCAGCAGCCGCGGUAAUACGUAGGUCCCGAGCGUUGUCCGGAUUUAUUGGGCGUAAAGCGAGCGCAGGCGGUUUGAUAAGUCUGAAGUUAAAGGCUGUGGCUCAACCAUAGUUCGCUUUGGAAACUGUCAAACUUGAGUGCAGAAGGGGAGAGUGGAAUUCCAUGUGUAGCGGUGAAAUGCGUAGAUAUAUGGAGGAACACCGGUGGCGAAAGCGGCUCUCUGGUCUGUAACUGACGCUGAGGCUCGAAAGCGUGGGGAGCGAACAGGAUUAGAUACCCUGGUAGUCCACGCCGUAAACGAUGAGUGCUAGGUGUUGGAUCCUUUCCGGGAUUCAGUGCCGCAGCUAACGCAUUAAGCACUCCGCCUGGGGAGUACGACCGCAAGGUUGAAACUCAAAGGAAUUGACGGGGGCCCGCACAAGCGGUGGAGCAUGUGGUUUAAUUCGAAGCAACGCGAAGAACCUUACCAGGUCUUGACAUCCCGAUGCUAUUUCUAGAGAUAGAAAGUUACUUCGGUACAUCGGUGACAGGUGGUGUAUGGUUGUCGUCAGCUCGUGUCGUGAGAUGUUGGGUUAAGUCCCGCAACGAGCGCAACCCCUAUUGUUAGUUGCCAUCAUUCAGUUGGGCACUCUAGCGAGACUGCCGGUAAUAAACCGGAGGAAGGUGGGGAUGACGUCAAAUCAUCAUGCCCCUUAUGACCUGGGCUACACACGUGCUACAAUGGUUGGUACAACGAGUUGCGAGUCGGUGACGGCAAGCUAAUCUCUUAAAGCCAAUCUCAGUUCGGAUUGUAGGCUGCAACUCGCCUACAUGAAGUCGGAAUCGCUAGUAAUCGCGGAUCAGCACGCCGCGGUGAAUACGUUCCCGGGCCU
RNAcentral lists this ribosomal RNA (1369 nucleotides) under uncultured bacterium. RNAcentral's name for it is "bacterial SSU rRNA". It matches the Rfam family "Bacterial small subunit ribosomal RNA", at positions 28 to 1381 of the family's 1533-position model. The record is from RNAcentral.